GUGUCUGACCUGCUCUAUUUAGCCAUUCAUUAUUUCUCCAAUACCUGUCAAUGGAUGUUUUUGGAUGCUAUAUAGAUACUUAGAAACAUAUUGCUAAAUCUUGCUAAAUCAUGCUGAAUAAUUUCAGGUUGUGCUGUCAAAUUGCCUGACAAUUUAAUUCUGGAUUUUUUUCAGGAUCUGUGUUCUUUGCCUUCUUCUUACUGCUGAAGGGGGGUUUAUCUAUAUAAUGGCUAAUGUUGUCACCCUUAAUAUUCUCUCUUGCAGUCUUCCUCUGUCUUCCAGCUUAUUCCAUGCAGAGGUGUGCCCAGAAAACUGGGCUUUCUGCAAAACAUUGAAAGAGUUGUCUGCCAGAGCUGUGUGCCACUGUCUCAAAUCCCAGAUGGGAUGACAGAGGUGAUUCUUGUCACUGAAUUUAAGCCAUUAUUCAAACACAGCAUUUUUACCUGGGUUACUGUCAGGAAAACAAAUAUUGGAAAUCCAUUUCCCACUAGCCAACAGCCAAAGCAUCCCUCACUUGUAUAAAACUUUCCUUUUGCUGGAAAUAAAACUGCAUCUCCUGAGCCCAGCAUUGAGCAUUUUAGACUUGUUUUAAUACCAAGUAGAUAGCAAUGCUGCUCAGAUUAACAGGCAAGGAAGCAGGCCCAGUAUUCUGAAAGCCACAUGCUAAGUAGCUGAACAGAAUGAUGAGCUGGGAAUCAGGAAAUAAAGAUUGUGCUUCUGUUUCUGCAGGUGAUCCACUGUGUAACUUUGGGCAAAUCACUUUCUUCUCAAUCCCUUUCUAUCUGUAAAGAUGAUGAGCUCAAUUAGAUGAUAAACUUGAGAAGUGAAAGUGGUAAGAAUAAUUCAAGUAAGGCAGUAUCAGCCACAUCUCUGCCUGUGUUUAUUGCUGGUUUUCUGAAUAUUUGAAUGCUCUAUUUUGUGUGUGAACUAACAUAGAGCUAUUUAUUUACCCUUGAAAAAUAGCACUAGCUGUUACUACUUGUGUGAGGGCUAAGAUAGGAGAGGGAAAGGAGGGAAAAAGGGAAGUAAAAAGCUUUACUUUUAUGAAAGUGAAAUAAAAUAUGCUACAUGAAAAUGACAAUAGAAAUGCACACUGUUUUAAGAUGACAAGUCUGGGAACAAUCUUUAAUUUAAAGGGUCUUAUCCACAGUUUUCAUAAAGAAAUGUUAAUUGAAAGUGUGAUGACAUGUUUGGGAUUUAAAGGAAAUCAUUCUGCAAAGGAUUUAUAGCAAUCACAGCUCCAGAGCAUUAGGAUUACAGAUCCUUGUGCUGUUCCUUUUCAGUGAUCAUGUGAUUGGCCUGCUGUUAAAUAUAGCUCCCAUUUAGCGAAUUGAGACAGGCAUGGGAAAGGUAGGGAGAGUUUCCCUUUAACCAGCGGGAUUUCAGAGGUGUUGGAGAUUAUACAAUUCAUUAGUUUUUACAUAAGAUCAAAGGGAAAGAGGAAGUCUUAAUUUGGGCACCAACUGCUACUGUCUGAAAGUCUUGCAGAUUAACUGAGGACAUGUGCAGCGCUAACUGCUUGUGUUAGAGCAUGAGACUAUUGUUUUAUAUCUCACUAACUCAUUGUUCUCUUCCCAGAGAUAAUUCUCACACUUAAGACCUUCAGAGAUAGUUAUGUCUAUUGUGAAUAGUUCAGCAACCAGCUGGCUCAGAGGUUAUUGCCUAAGCAUCUUUCCCUUGGUCUAAUCCCCUGCAAGGUUUUUUUUCUGGGCAGUGUUAUUAAUCUAAAAUGACUGCUAACUGACUCCUGUGUCAAACAUUAUUCAUUAUGUGCUUUAAAUGCUUCCUGCAGAGGCCAAAAUAAAUUUUGCUUUUUUAAAAGCGGACCACAAGGAGUGCCUAUAUAGGAUAUUUCCUAAAAGAUUAGACUCUAGCAGUUUAGAUGAGGAGGGGGAAAAAAUUGUCUUCAAAACAAAGCUUCAUAAUUUAACCAGGGAUAUACAAAAUGGACAAACCUCAAUUACCAAAACUGAUAUUUUUCAUACAGGAUUAUCUGUAAGUUGCUCUUGUGAAAGAAAACAUGCAGCCUUGCAGGGCAGGAGAAAUACUUUUAUAAAUAUGUAGAGUAAGUGACCUUACUAGAAAAUGAAGACCAAAUAAACAAAAUUCUUAAAACAGUAAUUCUUUUGUGUCUGGGGGUUUUUUUCAGGUGUCACUGGUGUUGGCAUGAAGCAUGAGGGGUUUUUUGUGUCAGUGACACUGACGAGCCUUGCAUGUGUAAUGGCAGUAUGGGAAGAGAGACGGAUAGAUUUGAAUAGCAAUAAGGUCUUCAGGUAGCUGUUCAGCCAAGUGUGUAUUGCUGGCAUUAAAUAGCCCUGCCUGAGAUGAGAGCUCGUAGCAUCAGGAUUGAUAUGUGAAAAACAUCAACAAAUUCAGGACAUGCGGCAACAGUGAGCAGGAUUUCUGUGAACAGUUUGGCCAUUCAUUAACAAAAAGAAAAUAUUUGUCAUCACUUUUCCCCAGAAUGUUUUUACAAUGGCAGCUGCUACCUGAGCUGGUAUUUGUGUUGCUGAGCAAGUGAGCAGCAUCCUAAGGAAAUAAACACACAGGCAGGUGUGCAGCCAUGCUCAUUUGCUGCUUUUUGAGGGCAGAAGAAGGGUGAUGUAAUUAGCAGACACAUGUUUAAAUUUUUAAUUAAGAGUUUUAAUGGAUUAUUCACUGCCUACCAGAACACACAUGCUCUUACUUUCUCACUUUUUCAGUCUGGGUUCCUAAGGAAACCAGGCUUAGUCAGUCAUGCUGCCUGCCUGCCUGCCAGCCUUCCUUCCUAAUCAGUGUUGAACUCUUUCGGGUUCAUGGCAGGCGAACACCACUUUUCUGGUAAAAUCAUGACUGCAUCACAACACAGUGGUAGCAAAAGGUCUGAGCAGCUGCUGCAGAGUUUAGCAGUAGGCACAAAUAGAUUUUUCCAGGAACAGGGCCGAGUCUCCAGCAAAAUCAGCAGGGGCAGAGGGAGGAAGGCAUGAGAGCAAAGAAGGGGAAGAAGAAAAAAAGAUCCUGAUGGGUUGACUGCAUCUUUCCCAGACCCCCUCUGACUUACUUGAUGUUCAAAGAGCAAUUUUUUAACAUUUUUUUAGUCUCAUGCCGCUUGCUGAUGCAGUGAUACUGUUUGUGGUACCUGUGUGAUAGAUACAAGUUGCAACAUUGGGCUGAAGGGCACAAAACUGAAAGACCUACCGGACUGCAAGGGUUCUAAGUGCCACUGCUGGCACAAGUAAUUUUCUUCUGCUUGUGAAUUCAUGGAAUGAUUUCCACGACACCUCUAUACUUUGUGUAGAGAAAAGCUAGAGAUCUAAGAAAAAGAGUUCCCAAGGUGUCCAGACCAGCAUUCUUAUCCCUGGGAGUGUGGAAACAAUGUAAGGCUGUUCAUUUUCUCCUUCCAUGAUUCAGUAUCAUCAUUGGUAGGUUUGAUUCCUGGAUUAAUCCACCAUUUCUACUCUUCUGUGAAGGAAAAUGGGUUAAUAUUUUUGCUGAGAUCAUCCGUCGUUAAAAGUUGUGGAGAUUUUGAGAGGAACAGCCUGUCAGGAGGCAGCCAUAGCUGGCUCUCUGCAAGGAAAGGUGAGCUGGAAGCUGAGACACCAACACAGCUGGCAGGACCGAAGUCUCAGCAGCCCCACAGCCCCCAGUGAGCCAAGCAAGGCAGGUCCAGAGCGGGGAGCGAGGAUCAGGCACAGCCCUGUGAACACCAGGCAGGUUCCUGGUGAAGAGGCAGGUCUGAGACCAGGCUGGAAGUCAGCUCCAGGUCAGGGUUUAGGUCCAAAGCAAUGGGUCCAAAGGCAGGGACAGGCAUGACUGCAGCACGGCAGGAGCUUUAGCUCAGAUGGGGCCUGAUGGAAGGGGCUUAGCUUAAAAGCAGGUCCCACAGGAAGUGGUAUCAGCCCUGGCUGUGUCCAAGGCCAGCAAAGGAGUGGGACAGCUCUCAGCUCUGCAAGCUCCAAGCUGGCCCUGAGCCCAGACAGCCGAACAGCCGGGAGGGGGCCUGCUCUCAGGGCCCUCAGACAGGGCCCUCAUCUCUCUGUUUGCCCGUGCUGAAGCAUGGAAUAAGUCAGAGAGUUGCUCUGUGGUGUGGAAUGGUCCCUGAUGGCUUUAAAUCCCAUAAUUUUCCAUUUUGGAUUUAGGCUUGCCAGAUGUAACUGCUGCCUGUUGCCUGGUGGUCCGGCAAAUAAUUUUUCCAAACCUAUGGGAUCUGACAAAAUCAUGAGGUUGCUCAGCACUUGCUGGAGCACCUUCUGGUGGAUAUGGGAUGGAGAGGACCCUGUGUUUGUGCACAAUGUGAGAUGGAUGACCACUUGGGGAGUCCAACUGCAGAGUCAUCAAUAAUAAAGCACAGAAACUGAUCAGCCAGAAAUGAAGCACAUUGUUACAGCCAAAUAAAAAUAAAAAUAGGAAAAGGAAAGAAAAAAGGAAAAAAAAAACCAAAACAAACUAAACAUCAGGCUCUUUCUCAACGGGCACAGUUUAAGUGGGGAAAGUGAUUCCACUUCACCCAUGCAACCCCUGUGCCCUCAAGGCUACACAAACACACCUGGCAGCUGGACUGCGUCUUACUUGGGAUCUGAUCUCUCAGACAGUCCCAGCACAGUAUAAAAAACCUGAAUGUUGCAAAGCUAACUGGCAGGGAACUCCUAGCACCACAGUGCAAGAAGAUUCUUGUCCCAUAAUUGGGCUCUGCAUAUUUGUCUUGAUUGUUUUGCUGCAAAAUACCUCAGCAAAACUACAAAGGAUAUAUUUGACACCUAUAGCUGACAGGCUUUUUCUACACCAUUUACCAAAGCAAUGUUUUGUGUGCCUUCUGUUCUAUUUGCUACGAGAAUUAUCCAUGCAUUAACACAGUUUACAAUCACUUUCAUUUUUGUUACUGUUGCAGCCCCAGCUCGUGGGUGAGGUUGUUUAUUAAUUCCUUCCCCUGGGGUGCCUGGAGGUAACACUUUGUUCUGCGCUGGCACCGCCCUGCCGGUGAGCGGCUCGCAGGAGGGUCCCUUCUGCUCGCCCCAUUUCCAGCAGGGCCAGGGAGGGAUGAGUGCUUCAACCGGGCUCUUCCUUUAUGUAUCAGAGGUUCUGCUUAAAUUCCAGGGCACGACAGAUGCCUAAAGGCCUCUCCCACACUGGUGUCUCUGUCAGAGCUGCUGUUUGAAGGGAUAUGGGGAGUCUCUCGCUCAGACUCGGAGAAAGGUGCGUCUACACUGCAGCCAGACAAGACCCAGCCUGAAUCUGGCUGGAGAAACAAUCUCAGAGCCUUAGGAUCUCUCCCCCGUCCCCUAAAUCACUUGUGUAGAUAAAGUGUUGAACACAAGUGUUGUAGAAGCAGAGAGAAAUUAUUCGUGUUAUGACUCUUCUCAACUUACUUAGAGAAUACAACUGUGAUCUUUAACUUGUUACUGCACGUUUUGCUGGUAAUCUGCUUUGUUUAGACUGUUUACAUUAUUUUAAUAACCUAUAUAUAAACCAUAUAUCAUUGCACCAAAAAUGUGUGUGCAUAUGCAUGUAUGAGCAUGUCUCUACAAUUUUAUAGAGAUAGUAAGUCAUUUGGUUUUACAUGUAAAAGUUGUCUUCUUAUGUAGUGCCAGCUUUUCAAGGUCCUGGCUAAAAGCAAUUGUAUUAAUUUAGGAAUAAGAUUGCAUUAGACUUAUGGGAAAAUUCUAAGACAAAAAUUCAAAGUACAGCAUAGAAUUGAAAAUAUAAGAUACAUUUUGCCUUCUUCUGCCCAUUUCAAAACCUAUAAAAAGGAAAAAAAUUGAAACCUAAAAACAACAACAACAAACAAACAAAACCAAAGCAAAACAAAAAAACCAAAUGAACAAACACCAAACUUGGUGAAAGGCAAAAAUUAAAUCAGCAGUUAGUAGGGGAGGAAAAAACCUUCUUCCAGGCUUCCUUUCUACGGGAAAGCAUACAUCAAGGGUUGAAGUGAAAGAGAAUAGGAAUAUUUGGCUGGAGUUCAGGCCAGUUCUAAUAAUGAUUCUUUCAAAAGAUUAUUUGAAUUCAUAUAGCUGAAAAUAUUUGCCAGUCUUUUUCCAUGUGAAAUGUUAUAAAUCAAAAGGCAAUGGAUAUUGUAAAAAGUCCUGAAAGUAUUAUAUAGAUGAAUUUUCCACUGAGCAUCCAAAAUCCUGGAAAUAUCACAUACCCUUUAAUUCACCCUUGCUAGCACCUUCCAUGGAGUAUUGCCUUCAUGGGAGCUGCUCACAAACUCAGAUAUUUGCAGUGACAUUUUUGUGCGUGGCAAACUCUUGCAAAAUGUAAGGUUUUCUUUUCCCUGGCAGUGCAAUAUGCAAAUACACUCCACUGAUGCAAAACUGAGCCCACUUAGUGCAGCUUAUCAUACUGAAAUAGCCUCAUCAGUGCAAACACCCAGCAUCCUCUUACCCAGGCUGUAAUAAGAUCUCAAUGACAUAUACACGGGUUUGUAGGAUCAGAUUAUUAUUUGUGUAACAUUAAAGUCCUGCUCUAUCUGGCAGGCCAAUAUAUGGCACUCCUCAUGACAUUUAGUUACCAAGAAAACUUGGAGACACAGUGCAUCUCUCUGGGAGAGCAUUAACAGCCCUGCCCAGUCUCAGCUGGAGCAUCCCCACCAGCCCAGCCCAGCCCUGCCCCAGAGCCCCAUUCCAGCUCAGCCCUGGGCUCUGUAGCAGGAGCUCAGCUGCAGGCAGACCUGGUCCUGGCCAUGGGAUUUGUUUUGCCAGGCUUCAGCCCACACCAGCUCUGCAGCUUGGCCUUGGCUUUGGCCCUGCCUCAUCACCACAGCCCUGCCAAGGAUCACCAGACCCAACACAGAUCCUGCCGGGCCUGACCUCGGACCUACCUCAUCACCACAGACUUGCCUGACCGGAUAUUUUUAGAAAACUUUUCAGGCAAGCACCUAACACAACAUGUCAUCCACAAGAUGUGGAAAAGAGGCUGUUGAGGAGAGCCCUGGAACAGUCAUGUUUCAAGUUUGGGAAGAUGGGGAAUAUCUAGUUGUGCCUGCUUGAGUGGAUGCUCAGGUAGGUUGACUGUCCUUCUAUCCCUUGUGUGGUACCCUAUGGGACAUACUCCAUGGUAUUUUUUUGUCAUGCCACGGUGAAAAGUGAUGUUUGGGUGAAAAGUGCUGUUUGCUGGCCAUA
Long non-coding RNA from Parus major (Great Tit), 7100 nucleotides. RefSeq lists it as uncharacterized. The transcript has 3 exons. The record is from RefSeq and is a predicted model, not a curated record. NCBI's taxonomy places the organism in Eukaryota, Metazoa, Chordata, Aves, Passeriformes, Paridae.